UCGAUUCUUUCUCUCUCUAACUUUUAUAUCGUCGUUUUGAGAAGAAAAAAAUCCCCAAUUUCUAAUCUCGAGCAAACACCAAUUUUCAGAAGAAAAAAAAUAUGUUGUUGUUUCUCGACUCAGACGGGCGUCAAACAUUCCACGCCGGCGAGUUCUCUUUCAACUUCCCCUCCCGCGAACGUACUUCUCAAAGCGAGGUCCAAAAUUAGGUAAACUUCUACCUUUAAUGUUAUUGAUUUUCUUAAAUUAAUUAUGUAUCCCAUCUCUCUCUCGGUGUAUAUUGAUUGAAGACUUUGGGGGAUAUUAUGUAGUUAAAAGAGUAAAUUUAGCACAAGAGUAUACGGGAAUUUCGAUUCUGCAGAAUUACUCAAAAUUUAUAAAUAUCAGGGGAACUCUUAUCUUUCACUACUAAUUGGAUGAUGUGUAUAAUUUUUGGGAUAUUGCUGAGUAUAUGCUGAUAAUAAAUUGUGGCACUGUUCACAAGAGCAAUUGUUUAUUUAACAUUGAUACAAAUUCUCUUGUGUUUAUAUUAGUAUAUUCAGUAGAAAUAUAAUAAAAUAAGACGAUAGGAUCUCUGGUAUCGUUGAAUUUUUGCAAAGUAUUGUGUAUCAUUUUGACGAAAUUAUUUAAAGAAACAAGAACCUUUACCUAUUAAACAAUCAGCAGUACGUGGGGGCUGCCUCGAUGCUACACCCGGUGUUUAUCACUGGGUCACCCUUCUGCUGCCACGUGGUUUUAAUUUCAGUUUUAAUUUUUUUUUUUAAUUUUAAUCAUAACUCUCUCUUUCUUCACCACAUAUACAACUUGUUUAUCCCUUUAAAAAGAAUAAAGUUCUUCUCCUCCGAUUCAUUAUUAAUCCAUCUUUGCAAUUGGAAAAGGGUGUGGGAUUUUAAUGGAACUAAAAAAAGUCUGAAAUUGUUCGAACUCAACCAAAAAAUUGCAAUCCCAAUUGUCUGUAUUAUUUUUAGUUUCAUAAAAAUUCCAACUACAACUUCAAGUAUAGAAUUAGAUGAAAAAGAGGAUCACAUGAAAUUUUCUUCAUUCUGAUUUAUGUCAUAUUAAUACCCUGUUGGAAAAAUUUUACUACUACUGUAAACGAAAUUAGAUGAAGUUUUAAUUAUAUGCUUGUUAUUUUGCAGCAGAUAAUUGCUUAGACCCAAAUUUCUCUUGUUCAUCUAAUUAUAUGCUUGGGAUGAAUUCUUCUCCUUUUUGUUUUACAUACAAAUAGCCUAAAUUUGGUUCAAUUAUAUAUACUAAAGCAGAUAUUUUGCAUCCUUUCAUUCAAUUCAUUUUUUUUAAUCUUUUCUCUUAUGUAAUUUGUGUAGUUUUUUUCAUAGUAUUUUGUAUAGAAAAUAACGUAAAAGUAUUUGUUCAUUUUUUUUUUCUUGUGUGUAAUUCAUCAACUUCGUUUUUUGAAUGUAGCAAUAAUGAGUUCUAUUAGAAGUGAUCAUAUUUGAAUGUAUAAUACCGAAGUGGAUCAAUCAGAAUCAUUGGAAUGAGUUGUUGACAUAUUGGAACACCCAAAAGUUUAGAGAUAAAUCGGAAAUUAAUUCCGAUAACAGAAACUCAAGUCAUGAUGGUUUAGGUCCCUCGUUGCAUACAUGAGGAUCAAUUCCAGUUUCAGAAUAUAAAAGAAAAGUC
RNAcentral lists this long non-coding RNA (1641 nucleotides) under Erythranthe guttata (spotted monkey flower). RNAcentral's name for it is "long non-coding RNA (EGUT_LNC002354)". The record is from RNAcentral. Lineage: Eukaryota; Viridiplantae; Streptophyta; Magnoliopsida; Lamiales; Phrymaceae.